CGUUUGCCUCUGCGUGCGUCUGUUCCGCAAAUCCUCGUACGCGUCGGUUCUGCCCGUUUCAAAGCUGCACAACGCCUGUGCAUAGACCAGCUCCCGCUUCCAGCAACCGACCUUUCCACGUAAAACUCCAAGCUCCACACCAUGCUUUUACGUUCGUGCAACCACGUCAUGCCUUUCUAUGCGUAAAAUGCCACGCACCACGCC
RNAcentral lists this long non-coding RNA (204 nucleotides) under Elaeis guineensis (African oil palm). RNAcentral's name for it is "long non-coding RNA (EGUI_LNC030560)". The record is from RNAcentral. Lineage: Eukaryota; Viridiplantae; Streptophyta; Magnoliopsida; Arecales; Arecaceae.